Molecule: ribosomal RNA, 603 nt
Filed under: Paenibacillus sp. BL8
Lineage: Bacteria; Bacillati; Bacillota; Bacilli; Caryophanales; Paenibacillaceae
Description: bacterial SSU rRNA
Rfam family: Bacterial small subunit ribosomal RNA
Source: RNAcentral
CUUGCUUCUCUGAUGGUUAGCGGCGGACGGGUGAGUAACACGUAGGCAACCUGCCCUCAAGCUUGGGACAACUACCGGAAACGGUAGCUAAUACCGAAUAGUUGUUUUCUUCUCCUGAAGAGAACUGGAAAGACGGAGCAAUCUGUCACUUGGGGAUGGGCCUGCGGCGCAUUAGCUAGUUGGUGGGGUAACGGCUCACCAAGGCGACGAUGCGUAGCCGACCUGAGAGGGUGAUCGGCCACACUGGGACUGAGACACGGCCCAGACUCCUACGGGAGGCAGCAGUAGGGAAUCUUCCGCAAUGGGCGAAAGCCUGACGGAGCAAUGCCGCGUGAGUGAUGAAGGUUUUCGGAUCGUAAAGCUCUGUUGCCAGGGAAGAACGCUUGGGAGAGUAACUGCUCUCAAGGUGACGGUACCUGAGAAGAAAGCCCCGGCUAACUACGUGCCAGCAGCCGCGGUAAUACGUAGGGGGCAAGCGUUGUCCGGAAUUAUUGGGCGUAAAGCGCGCGCAGGCGGUCAUUUAAGUCUGGUGUUUAAUCCCGGGGCUCAACCCCGGAUCGCACUGGAAACUGGGUGACUUGAGUGCAGAAGAGGAGAGUGGAA